UUUGAAUUUGAUGAACUUGUGUACAACUGCCAUUUUAGAGGAGUAUCCAGACAUAGUCUUCUCAUAUGGGUUCAGUGAUGAGUACAGUUUUGUUUUCAAGAAGACAUCCAAGUUCUACCAGAGGCGUGCCAGGAGUUGAAAUAUCCCCCAUCAUUUCAGUCACGGGUAAUAU
This is a non-coding RNA of Corylus avellana, 172 nucleotides long. NCBI's taxonomy places the organism in Eukaryota, Viridiplantae, Streptophyta, Magnoliopsida, Fagales, Betulaceae. The record is from RefSeq and is a predicted model, not a curated record.